Molecule: ribosomal RNA, 2902 nt
Filed under: Escherichia coli HVH 1 (4-6876161)
Lineage: Bacteria; Pseudomonadati; Pseudomonadota; Gammaproteobacteria; Enterobacterales; Enterobacteriaceae
Description: bacterial LSU rRNA
Rfam family: Bacterial large subunit ribosomal RNA
Source: RNAcentral
UUAAGCGACUAAGCGUACACGGUGGAUGCCCUGGCAGUCAGAGGCGAUGAAGGACGUGCUAAUCUGCGAUAAGCGUCGGUGAGGUGAUAUGAACCGUUAUAACCGGCGAUUUCCGAAUGGGGAAACCCAGUGUGUUUCGACACACUAUCAUUAACUGAAUCCAUAGGUUAAUGAGGCGAACCGGGGGAACUGAAACAUCUAAGUACCCCGAGGAAAAGAAAUCAACCGAGAUUCCCCCAGUAGCGGCGAGCGAACGGGGAGGAGCCCAGAGCCUGAAUCAGUGUGUGUGUUAGUGGAAGCGUCUGGAAAGGCGCGCGAUACAGGGUGACAGCCCCGUACACAAAAAUGCACAUAUUGUGAGCUCGAUGAGUAGGGCGGGACACGUGGUAUCCUGUCUGAAUAUGGGGGGACCAUCCUCCAAGGCUAAAUACUCCUGACUGACCGAUAGUGAACCAGUACCGUGAGGGAAAGGCGAAAAGAACCCCGGCGAGGGGAGUGAAAAAGAACCUGAAACCGUGUACGUACAAGCAGUGGGAGCCUCUUUAUGGGGUGACUGCGUACCUUUUGUAUAAUGGGUCAGCGACUUAUAUUCUGUAGCAAGGUUAACCGAAUAGGGGAGCCGAAGGGAAACCGAGUCUUAACUGGGCGUUAAGUUGCAGGGUAUAGACCCGAAACCCGGUGAUCUAGCCAUGGGCAGGUUGAAGGUUGGGUAACACUAACUGGAGGACCGAACCGACUAAUGUUGAAAAAUUAGCGGAUGACUUGUGGCUGGGGGUGAAAGGCCAAUCAAACCGGGAGAUAGCUGGUUCUCCCCGAAAGCUAUUUAGGUAGCGCCUCGUGAAUUCAUCUCCGGGGGUAGAGCACUGUUUCGGCAAGGGGGUCAUCCCGACUUACCAACCCGAUGCAAACUGCGAAUACCGGAGAAUGUUAUCACGGGAGACACACGGCGGGUGCUAACGUCCGUCGUGAAGAGGGAAACAACCCAGACCGCCAGCUAAGGUCCCAAAGUCAUGGUUAAGUGGGAAACGAUGUGGGAAGGCCCAGACAGCCAGGAUGUUGGCUUAGAAGCAGCCAUCAUUUAAAGAAAGCGUAAUAGCUCACUGGUCGAGUCGGCCUGCGCGGAAGAUGUAACGGGGCUAAACCAUGCACCGAAGCUGCGGCAGCGACACUAUGUGUUGUUGGGUAGGGGAGCGUUCUGUAAGCCUGUGAAGGUGGCCUGUGAGGGUUGCUGGAGGUAUCAGAAGUGCGAAUGCUGACAUAAGUAACGAUAAAGCGGGUGAAAAGCCCGCUCGCCGGAAGACCAAGGGUUCCUGUCCAACGUUAAUCGGGGCAGGGUGAGUCGACCCCUAAGGCGAGGCCGAAAGGCGUAGUCGAUGGGAAACAGGUUAAUAUUCCUGUACUUGGUGUUACUGCGAAGGGGGGACGGAGAAGGCUAUGUUGGCCGGGCGACGGUUGUCCCGGUUUAAGCGUGUAGGCUGGUUUUCCAGGCAAAUCCGGAAAACCAAGGCUGAGGCGUGAUGACGAGGCACUACGGUGCUGAAGCGACAAAUGCCCUGCUUCCAGGAAAAGCCUCUAAGCAUCAGGUAACAUCAAAUCGUACCCCAAACCGACACAGGUGGUCAGGUAGAGAAUACCAAGGCGCUUGAGAGAACUCGGGUGAAGGAACUAGGCAAAAUGGUGCCGUAACUUCGGGAGAAGGCACGCUGAUAUGUAGGUGAAGCGACUUGCUCGUGGAGCUGAAAUCAGUCGAAGAUACCAGCUGGCUGCAACUGUUUAUUAAAAACACAGCACUGUGCAAACACGAAAGUGGACGUAUACGGUGUGACGCCUGCCCGGUGCCGGAAGGUUAAUUGAUGGGGUUAGCGGUAACGCGAAGCUCUUGAUCGAAGCCCCGGUAAACGGCGGCCGUAACUAUAACGGUCCUAAGGUAGCGAAAUUCCUUGUCGGGUAAGUUCCGACCUGCACGAAUGGCGUAAUGAUGGCCAGGCUGUCUCCACCCGAGACUCAGUGAAAUUGAACUCGCUGUGAAGAUGCAGUGUACCCGCGGCAAGACGGAAAGACCCCGUGAACCUUUACUAUAGCUUGACACUGAACAUUGAGCCUUGAUGUGUAGGAUAGGUGGGAGGCUUUGAAGUGUGGACGCCAGUCUGCAUGGAGCCGACCUUGAAAUACCACCCUUUAAUGUUUGAUGUUCUAACGUUGGCCCGUAAUCCGGGUUGCGGACAGUGUCUGGUGGGUAGUUUGACUGGGGCGGUCUCCUCCUAAAGAGUAACGGAGGAGCACGAAGGUUGGCUAAUCCUGGUCGGACAUCAGGAGGUUAGUGCAAUGGCAUAAGCCAGCUUGACUGCGAGCGUGACGGCGCGAGCAGGUGCGAAAGCAGGUCAUAGUGAUCCGGUGGUUCUGAAUGGAAGGGCCAUCGCUCAACGGAUAAAAGGUACUCCGGGGAUAACAGGCUGAUACCGCCCAAGAGUUCAUAUCGACGGCGGUGUUUGGCACCUCGAUGUCGGCUCAUCACAUCCUGGGGCUGAAGUAGGUCCCAAGGGUAUGGCUGUUCGCCAUUUAAAGUGGUACGCGAGCUGGGUUUAGAACGUCGUGAGACAGUUCGGUCCCUAUCUGCCGUGGGCGCUGGAGAACUGAGGGGGGCUGCUCCUAGUACGAGAGGACCGGAGUGGACGCAUCACUGGUGUUCGGGUUGUCAUGCCAAUGGCACUGCCCGGUAGCUAAAUGCGGAAGAGAUAAGUGCUGAAAGCAUCUAAGCACGAAACUUGCCCCGAGAUGAGUUCUCCCUGAGUCUUUGAGACUCCUGAAGGAACGUUGAAGACGACGACGUUGAUAGGCCGGGUGUGUAAGCGCAGCGAUGCGUUGAGCUAACCGGUACUAAUGAACCGUGAGGCUUAACCUU